UACGAAGGGGGCUAGCGUUGCUCGGAAUCACUGGGCGUAAAGGGUGCGUAGGCGGGUCUUUAAGUCAGGGGUGAAAUCCUGGAGCUCAACUCCAGAACUGCCUUUGAUACUGAGGAUCUUGAGUCCGGGAGAGGUGAGUGGAACUGCGAGUGUAGAGGUGAAAUUCGUAGAUAUUCGCAAGAACACCAGUGGCGAAGGCGGCUCACUGGCCCGAUACUGACGCUGAGGCACGAAAGCGUGGGGAGCAAACAAG
Molecule: ribosomal RNA, 253 nt
Filed under: uncultured bacterium
Lineage: Bacteria
Description: partial 16S ribosomal RNA
Rfam family: Bacterial small subunit ribosomal RNA
Source: RNAcentral